UACGUAGGGUGCGAGCGUUGUCCGGAAUUAUUGGGCGUAAAGAGCUUGUAGGCGGUUUGUCGCGUCUGCUGUGAAAACCCGAGGCUCAACCUCGGGCCUGCAGUGGGUACGGGCAGACUAGAGUGCGGUAGGGGAGAUUGGAAUUCCUGGUGUAGCGGUGGAAUGCGCAGAUAUCAGGAGGAACACCAAUGGCGAAGGCAGAUCUCUGGGCCGUAACUGACGCUGAGGAGCGAAAGCAUGGGGAGCGAACAGG
This 253-nucleotide ribosomal RNA is filed under the name uncultured bacterium. Its description in RNAcentral is "partial 16S ribosomal RNA". It matches the Rfam family "Bacterial small subunit ribosomal RNA", at positions 524 to 776 of the family's 1533-position model. The record is from RNAcentral.